Limulus polyphemus (Atlantic horseshoe crab) is the source of this 1102-nucleotide long non-coding RNA. RefSeq lists it as uncharacterized. The transcript is spliced from 2 exons. NCBI's taxonomy places the organism in Eukaryota, Metazoa, Arthropoda, Merostomata, Xiphosura, Limulidae. The record is from RefSeq and is a predicted model, not a curated record.
AAAAUAGAACAUAUUUUAACAGAUGAGUACGUUGCCAGUCUUCAUCUUCCCAGUUUUGAUGCUCAUCUUACUGAACUAACAGAUGAUCAGGCCAAAUACAUGGGGUUGAACAAAGCAGGGCCUUUCAAGCCUAACUAUUACAGGUAUUAAUCAGGACCACUGUGGGUCAGUUGGAGCGUGUGAAUCUGUAAAUAAAGUGUUGCUUGGAUCACACCAACCUCAAUACAAAUGUUUUACCUUCGAUACGAGUUUUAUUCUAGAAAUCAAACGUAGAAUUAUUGUAGUCUAAAGCAUGUUAUUAUGUUGGUUAUAUCGAGAAAAAAAAAUAUGUAAAUAGAAAAACAUGCCUUUCAUAAGUUUGAGAAAAUUAAUGUUCUAUAGUGAGAUAAUAAACCAGGCUGCUGGUUUCAAAAAUGUUCUUUUUUUUCUUCACAAUUUGAGUAGUUUUCUUACUUAAUUUGGUGUUUUUCUAUGUAUUGAGUUAAACACCGACAGGUUUUGUGAUGUACUUUUACAUUGUAAGAGGGCAUUAGUUAUAAAAGACUGUUUCAGAUGCUGCUGUCUUGAGUGGAAAAUUAAUCUACAGUGAUGCACUACUAGCUCUAAGAUAAGAAAAUUAUUUAAAAUUGUGAACGAUUAGAUAUGCAGGAUGUUCGAUAAUCCAUAUUAGCUUUAAUUGUACGUAUAUUCAAACUAUUGCAUCUUCCUAGGACAUUUAUCCUUAACACACUUUGCUGUAGAUUGUAAAGGGUUGUCCCUGACAUCUUUCAAAAUUAUUCCAAACUUUAUAAGGUGAUCCUUGCAUUAAACAGAUCUAUAGAUGUAUGUAUUGUUUCGAAGAGAAGCAUCAGAGAACCUGUUCUGGUGUGUGUGUAAGUUCGUUUUUUAACUUUUCCAGCCAGUUAAAUGUGUAUAUACUGUUACUUUAUCUUUCCAAACAACACAACAGUAAUAGUUUGUGCGAGUAAAUCUAUAGUAAUAUAUGUAUAUAUAGAAAUCUCAGAAGGUUCAAUUGUGGUACCUAUAUUAAUGUUAUACAUUUUUCUCCUCAUUAACAAGAGGUGAAAUUAUUGAAGCUCAUAAAAUAAUAAUGGGAAAAAAA